GCCCGGAUGGCGAAAUUGGCAGACGCAGCGGACUUAAAAUCCGCAGGAGCUUACCCUCCGUGGGGGUUCAAGUCCCCCUCCGGGCACCA
This 89-nucleotide transfer RNA is filed under the name Acidobacteriota bacterium. RNAcentral describes it as "tRNA-Leu". It matches the Rfam family "tRNA". Rfam says of the family: Transfer RNA (tRNA) molecules are approximately 80 nucleotides in length. The record is from RNAcentral. Lineage: Bacteria; Pseudomonadati; Acidobacteriota. RNAcentral also lists the same sequence under 2 other names.